RNAcentral lists this ribosomal RNA (305 nucleotides) under uncultured bacterium. RNAcentral's name for it is "bacterial SSU rRNA". It matches the Rfam family "Bacterial small subunit ribosomal RNA", at positions 333 to 636 of the family's 1533-position model. The record is from RNAcentral.
UGCCCCCUACGGGGGGCAGCAGUGAGGAAUAUUGGUCAAUGGGCGGGAGCCUGAACCAGCCAAGCCGCGUGAGGGAAGAAGGUACAGCGUAUCGUAAACCUCUUUUGUCAGGGAACAAAGGCGGGGACUAGUCCCCGGAUGAGGGUACCUGAAGAAAAAGCAUCGGCUAACUCCGUGCCAGCAGCCGCGGUAAUACGGAGGAUGCGAGCGCUAUCCGGAUUUAUUGGGUUUAAAGGGUGCGCAGGCGGCCUGUUAAGUCAGCGGUAAAAGCCAGGGGCUCAACCCCGGCGAGGCGUUGAAACGUG